Pelobates cultripes (western spadefoot toad) is the source of this 421-nucleotide non-coding RNA. Lineage: Eukaryota; Metazoa; Chordata; Amphibia; Anura; Pelobatidae. The record is from the annotation of a GenBank genome assembly.
CCGACUCCUCCCUAUUACCUUUCUUGUAAAUGGGCACAACAUUCGCUAACUUCCAAUCUUCUGGGACUACUCCUGUUAACAAUGAUUGGUUAAAUAAAUCUGUAAAUGGUUUUGCUAGUACACACUAAGCUCUUUUAAUAGCUUUGGGUGUAUUCCAUCAGGUCCCAUUGACUUAUUUGUCUUUACUUUUGACAGUUGAAAUAGAACCUCUUCCUCUAAACUCACGUGUAAUAAAUGACUCAUUUGUCCUUUUUCUCAACUGAGGUCCCUUUCCUUCAUUUUCAUCUGUAAAUACAGAACAAAAAUAUUCAUUGAGGCAGUCAGCUAGACCUUUAUCCUCUUCUACAUACCUUCCUUCUUUUGUUUUUAAUCUAACUAAUCCUUGUUUUACUUUUCUUUUCUCAUUUAUGUAUCUAAAAAA